UGCCAGCUGCUGUUGGUGAUUUUUCUCCACAUCAGGGGAAUUCACAAUUAAAAAGCCAGCCAGUGGGACCCUGAAGAGUGGCAGCCAGGGUGUGAGGACAAGACACCCCGAAGCUGAGAAAAGUACGGAGAAGGACUGGGAGUGGGAGGCAUGCC
This is a long non-coding RNA of Condylura cristata (star-nosed mole), 155 nucleotides long. RefSeq lists it as uncharacterized. The record is from RefSeq and is a predicted model, not a curated record. NCBI's taxonomy places the organism in Eukaryota, Metazoa, Chordata, Mammalia, Eulipotyphla, Talpidae. The transcript has 3 exons.